Molecule: long non-coding RNA, 688 nt
Filed under: Capra hircus (goat)
Lineage: Eukaryota; Metazoa; Chordata; Mammalia; Artiodactyla; Bovidae
Description: lncRNA (ENSCHIG00000007251.1)
Source: RNAcentral
GCUCCAAGCCCAGCUCUAGAAGCAUCAGGGAUCUUCUUGGGCAAGAAGACACAGAGCCAGAAAGCCACAUUCCUGCCAGCCUCCUCGGGUCCUGGCUCCAGGCCUGGCAAGCCCACUCUCAGAAGGCGGUGGUGCAAUGAUGACAGGAGAGCUCAUUACAGCCGUCAUCCUGCCAGGAUAAGAACACGGGCUUGUCUGUCCAGCACAGCUCACCUGAGUCAUCCAGCCUGUAACCUGUAGCCACCUGGGCUUGGAGCUGGACCAGCAGGCUGCCAGGAGUCUGGAACACCUCCUGCGUGCUGCCCUGGUCUCAGCUUUUCGUGGAUCCGGGGCUUGGCUUGUACGUCCGCCCCCAGGAUUGGAAGGUCAGGGCUCUACAGCCUCAAGUCUAUGGAGGGUGUGUACUUAUCCUGUGGGCAGAGCUGUGUGUGCAGCCCCGAUUGGCUUCAGGGCUGAGAUUUUACAAGGUGGGUAUCUGAGAAUUCUUUAUGGUCUUUGCUUACCCUUCAUUCAACAAAGAUGACAAUCAGGAUUUGGGUCUGAGCUCGCAGAGAGGAGAAGACUGAUAAAGGAGCAUAUCUGGGGGAAAGUCAGGGUUGUUGUUGUUGUUGCCACAUCCCAUGGCAUGUGGGAUCUGAAUUCCCCAAACAGGAAUUGAACCCAUGCCCCCAGCAGUGAAAGACUGGAA